Molecule: ribosomal RNA, 477 nt
Filed under: uncultured bacterium
Lineage: Bacteria
Description: partial 16S ribosomal RNA
Rfam family: Bacterial small subunit ribosomal RNA
Source: RNAcentral
AUUGAACGCUGGCGGCAUGCCUUACACAUGCAAGUCGAACGGUAACAGGUUAAGCUGACGAGUGGCGAACGGGUGAGUAAUGUAUCGGAACGUGCCCAGUCGUGGGGGAUAACUGCUCGAAAGAGCAGCUAAUACCGCAUACGACCUGAGGGUGAAAGCGGGGGAUCGCAAGACCUCGCGCGAUUGGAGCGGCCGAUAUCAGAUUAGGUAGUUGGUGAGGUAAAGGCUCACCAAGCCGACGAUCUGUAGCUGGUCUGAGAGGACGACCAGCCACACUGGGACUGAGACACGGACCAGACUCCUACGGGAGGCAGCAGUGGGGAAUUUUGGACAAUGGGCGCAAGCCUGAUCCAGCCAUGCCGCGUGCGGGAAGAAGGCCUUCGGGUUGUAAACCGCUUUUGUCAGGGAAGAAAAGGUUCUGGCUAAUACCUGGGACUCAUGACGGUACCUGAAGAAUAAGCACCGGCUAACUACGUG